RNAcentral lists this long non-coding RNA (1455 nucleotides) under Mus musculus (house mouse). Its description in RNAcentral is "long non-coding RNA chr19:5851581-5853036". Lineage: Eukaryota; Metazoa; Chordata; Mammalia; Rodentia; Muridae. The record is from RNAcentral.
CUCUCUGCUGCCAAAACUUCUGGAGCUCACUGGCAGGCAAACUGGUUUCAUUUUCAGAGAUGAUGGUUUCCAUUUCUGUGGCUUUCCACCAAGAAGACAAAGCUAAGCUAUGUCUCUGGGAUCCAGUGGGGAUUCCCAGGGAGUACAAAGGGCUUAAGGGCCAGGACAGCUCCACUCCCAGAACUAGCUCUUCCCAGGAGCAGUCAAGGCUGCCAGGGGUGCAGAGCUGGGGACAGAUAGGCCUUUGCGAUGUCCUUCGGAGAGAGGUGGCUUGAGCCGCUGUGGCUGGCCUCAGGGAAUCCCACAGUGCAGUGCAAUUCGGAGUUGCCACGCCCCAGGCUUUAUCAGCUCAGAGCACAGGAGACAAGGCAAAAUCUAACCCUUAAACCCAGAUCACAGGAAAACAAAGGAACUGGUUGGUAUGGGACAGCCAAUCCAGCCCAGGGACAUGUAAGGGCUUUUCCUAUGUGCAGCAUGGAACCGGUUCCUAGGAGAGCCACCAUUCAGCACAGAGACAUCAGUAAAGGCCAACAAGAAAGGGGUUAGCCUGCAGAGGUGCCCUCCAGUUCCAACAUAACUUAGGGGAAAAGGUGGCAGCCUGGCCGGCCAGCAUGGUGGAAUGUCAGCAGAAGGAAUGCAAGAUAAAGUCACCAAGGGCCCAUGACCGAAGGCAAACACUGAACUUGCAGGUCCCAAGCUCUGCCUUCAGUCACCUGCCAUCGGAACCGCCAGCAGUCCCUCCAGAGGGAAGACCAGUGCACUUGGGGAAGAGCAGGAGGGCAGCAGGGUUUGUCAGCUGCCAGCCUGGAGCAGAGGAAGAGGCAGGCUGUAGAAAGGGCUGGAGCACAGCUCUACCCACACCAGGCUCAGGGAAGGCUUGGAUGUCAGUUUUCCAUGGUCUGAAACUCCAGCAGACCCUGCACAGCACCCCACCCAGGCCCACAGCAUCUGAGACGAGUGUGGCCUGGCCCUGCCUAGGGCUGUGCCUGGUUGUGUCUAGGGCACCCAGAUGUCCUCCUGCUGCUGGCCGUGGCUUCCCUCAGCUCUGCUCCAGGCUGUCGUCGGUGGGCUGCACCACGGUGUAGCUUCCCUGGCUGGAGGAGAGCUGUCGGCUGAAGAAGGAGGUGGUUCGCUUUGGUUUCACCCGCUUGAUCCCCUUGCCUGUGAGGGUGACAGAGAGGCUGAGAAGAGGCACUGGGUAGGUGGCCCACACCCCAGGAGGCUGGGCUCCACUCUUACUGGGUCAGUUUCUCCUGGAGUCGCUUAAACUGUGCUUCCCCAUCAGAACUGUCAUCACUGAGCCUGUCCCUGGGCUGUAUCAUCAGUGGCAGGAGGGCCCCAUGGUCACCUCCACCAUCCCAUCAGAAGCUCCAGAAGACUCCAGACUGACUGCUGGGUGACGACCACUAAGACAGGGAUAGCUGAGGAUGGGAAGCCAAAUAAAAGAUGGAGGGC